GGUUAUAGCUCAGUGGGAGAGCGCCUGCCUUGCACGCAGGAGUCUUGGUUCGAUGCAUAAGCUCCACCA
RNAcentral lists this transfer RNA (69 nucleotides) under Klebsiella planticola. Its description in RNAcentral is "Raoultella planticola tRNA-Ala". Lineage: Bacteria; Pseudomonadati; Pseudomonadota; Gammaproteobacteria; Enterobacterales; Enterobacteriaceae. The record is from RNAcentral.